Molecule: long non-coding RNA, 308 nt
Filed under: Sinocyclocheilus anshuiensis
Lineage: Eukaryota; Metazoa; Chordata; Actinopteri; Cypriniformes; Cyprinidae
Description: lncRNA (ENSSANG00000002804.1)
Source: RNAcentral
AUACUCAUAUUUAUUUGUAAUGACAUGCUAAUAAUUCAUCUGGCUGUUGUAGUUUUUUGGACAUUUACUGCGUGCCCAUUUCCUGAGCCGUUCUGAGAGUUCCCAAUCUCUGACCACAAACAUCGCCUUCGUCGCCUGUAACGGUCUGGGCCUCAUCUUCUCACUUCUCAUCAUCCCAACAUUGUGCUGCUGGUGUAAACCGAGAAAGCGUCUGAUGGUCAUCCACAUGAACGCAGCUGACGUCGUGGAUCAUCCGCGUCCAGAAUCUUCCCCGCCGGCCUAUAGUCCGGUCCCGUCUUCAGAUCCGC